RNAcentral lists this ribosomal RNA (554 nucleotides) under uncultured bacterium. Its description in RNAcentral is "partial 16S ribosomal RNA". It matches the Rfam family "Bacterial small subunit ribosomal RNA", at positions 355 to 900 of the family's 1533-position model. The record is from RNAcentral.
UAGGGAAUCUUCCACAAUGGACGCAAGUCUGAUGGAGCAACGCCGCGUGAGUGAAGAAGGUUUUCGGACCGUAAAGCUCUGUUGUUGGUGGAGAAGGAUAGAGGUAGUAACUGGCCUUUAUUUGACGGUAAUCAACCAGAAAGUCACAGCUAACUACGUGCCAGCAGCCGCGGUAAUACGUAGGUGGCAAGCGUUGUCCGGAUUUAUUGGGCGUAAAGCGAGCGCAGGCGGAAGAAUAAGUCUGAUGUGAAAGCCCUCGGCUUAACCGAGGAAUUGCAUCGGAAACUGUUUUCUUGAGUGCAGAAGAGGAGAGUAGAACUCCAUGUGUAGCGGUGGAAUGCGUAGAUAUAUGGAAGAAUACCAGUGGCGAAGGCGGCUCUCUGGUCUGCAACUGACGCUGAGGCUCGAAAGCAUGGGUAGCGAACAGGAUUAGAUACCCUGGUAGUCCAUGCCGUAAACGAUGAGUGCUAAGUGUUGGGAGGCUUCCGCCUCUCAGUGCUGCAGCUAACGCAUUAAGCACUCCGCCUGGGGGAGUACGACCGCAAGGUUGAAAC